Long non-coding RNA from Hyla sarda, 418 nucleotides. RefSeq lists it as uncharacterized. The record is from RefSeq and is a predicted model, not a curated record. The transcript has 4 exons. Lineage: Eukaryota; Metazoa; Chordata; Amphibia; Anura; Hylidae.
CUGAGAGUCCACCAUAACCAGUUCCACCACUAAACUCUCUGGAGCCAAGGGCUGCUUCUUGAGCUGCGAAAGCCGCUGCCUAAUGGAGGACAAAGAAGCACAAAGUGAUAUCGUUAUUAAUUUAGAAAAAAAAAAUGGUCAUUGGAUUCACUUGCUAUAAACUACUACAUAUAUGCCUGAUGAAGCGGAUAUCCUGUGAAACGUGUUGCAUUAUGGUAAUAAAGUUCUUUUGUACUAAGAAGAUUCCAAGCGCCUAUUUGAUCCUGCCUAUUCCUUUGGAGCUGCUCCAUCAUUUGCUGAAAUUCAGCUUCCUUCUGCUCAGCUUCUUCUAGAGUUGCCUGGUUCUGCUCUUCAUAGGCCAUGGCAACCACAGCCAGGAUCAAGUUCACCAAAUAGAAGGAGCCCAAGAAGAUCACCA